CACUCCUACGGGAGGCAGCAGUGGGGAAUUUUGGACAAUGGGCGAAAGCCUGAUCCAGCAAUGCCGCGUGAGUGAAGAAGGCCUUCGGGUUGUAAAGCUCUUUUGUCAGGGAAGAAACGGUGAAAGCUAAUAUCUUUUGCUAAUGACGGUACCUGAAGAAUAAGCACCGGCUAACUACGUGCCAGCAGCCGCGGUAAUACGUAGGGUGCAAGCGUUAAUCGGAAUUACUGGGCGUAAAGCGUGCGCAGGCGGUUUUGUAAGUCUGAUGUGAAAUCCCCGGGCUCAACCUGGGAAUUGCAUUGGAGACUACAAGGCUAGAAUCUGGCAGAGGGGGGUAGAAUUCCACGUGUAGCAGUGAAAUGCGUAGAUAUGUGGAGGAACACCGAUGGCGAAGGCAGCCCCCUGGGUCAAGAUUGACGCUCAUGCACGAAAGCGUGGGGAGCAAACAGGAUUAGAUACCCGGGUAGUCCC
Molecule: ribosomal RNA, 471 nt
Filed under: uncultured organism
Description: partial 16S ribosomal RNA
Rfam family: Bacterial small subunit ribosomal RNA
Source: RNAcentral